CCGGCCCAGCCCAGCCCCGGCCCGCUCCCUCAGGGCCGGCCUGGCCCGGGGCCCGUGGGCUUGGGCAGCGGGGAGCGCCGUCCUGCCGCCUAGCCGUGCCCUUGGCGUUGUGGGCCGCCUGUGCCGGCCCCCGGGGGCUUUGAAAGAACCACAGGAGAGGAGAUAAAGGGGGCUUUACUUCACCUCCAAGUCAAAUACUUCUGAGAAAAAGAUCACCCCUGCCAUCUUCCCAUGGCGCAGGAAAAGCAGAGAGAUACUGUUUUGGAGCCUGCAUCUUUUCUGAAGAAAAUGUGGAUUUAAGGCACACGUGCUUGAUUAAGAAGAACUUCCUGCAUUCUGGACUUUUGCUUCAGAGAGGUUGAGGAUUUGAAAGGUACUUUUUGUACCCCAGGAUGAAAACAUGCCAGUAGAGCUAUGCGUAAUACCUGUUUAUAUUCUGCACAGGAAUUUAUUGUGUUUGUAAUAACCAGAUUGACAUCUAUGUUUUCAGUGACUACUUGGAUGAAAUAAAGAAUGAAGUGUUAGUGGCUCA
This 532-nucleotide long non-coding RNA is filed under the name Calidris pugnax (ruff). RNAcentral's name for it is "lncRNA (ENSCPUG00000004255.1)". The record is from RNAcentral. Lineage: Eukaryota; Metazoa; Chordata; Aves; Charadriiformes; Scolopacidae.